GGGGAAUUUUGGACAAUGGGCGAAAGCCUGAUCCAGCCAUUCCGCGUGAGUGAAGAAGGCCUUCGGGUUGUAGAGCUCUUUCGGCAGGGAAGAAACGGUCUAGGUUAAUACCUUGGGCUAAUGACGGUACCUGAAGAAGAAGCACCGGCUAACUACGUGCCAGCAGCCGCGGUAAUACGUAGGGGGCGAGCGUUGUCCGGAUUUAUUGGGCGUAAAGAGCUCGUAGGCGGUUUGGCAAGUCGGGUGUGAAAACUCCGGGCUCAACUCGGAGACGCCACUCGAUACUGCCAUGACUUGAGUCCGGUAGGGGAGUGCGGAAUUCCUGGUGUAGCGGUGAAAUGCGCAGAUAUCAGGAGGAACACCGGUGGCGAAGGCGGCACUCUGGGCCGGUACUGACGCUGAGGAGCGAAAGCGUGGGGAGCGAA
This 425-nucleotide ribosomal RNA is filed under the name uncultured bacterium. RNAcentral describes it as "bacterial SSU rRNA". It matches the Rfam family "Bacterial small subunit ribosomal RNA", at positions 356 to 772 of the family's 1533-position model. The record is from RNAcentral.